AAGUCCUAAAUAUUGAUUUUCAAUUAUUUUUUUUUUGCAAGGUAGAACGGCGUCAAUUAAAACACAGAUGAUUCGUUACUCGAAGAUGUGUCCAAGACUAGCCGCUCAAAAUCCAAACUUUUUUCCAAAAUGCCAAGUAAAUGCUGUACUUUGGAAAGAGAUAUAAUUUGAGAAUUAGUCUCUAAACUUUCCAAAAGAGUCUCAAUAUGAGAAGUAGCUGAUUUGUCUUUGCAGUGUUCAACCCAAGCAACAUAAGGAUAACCAUCUGAAGCGGAGAUUUGAGAAACAACUUCUUGAAUCAUAAAUACAAAAGGAAGCAUAGCAAUUUGGAUUCCUCGCAGCCCAUCCUGUUGAGCAGUAUCGUGUAUGAACAAAGAAUGAGACUUAACAAUUUCUGGUUUGCUCUUUGUUAUUUGACUUGCAGAUAAACCGUAUUGCUCGCAAAUUCUAAGAUGAGUCACAUUUUCUUCCUUAAUAGCCUGAAUAAUUUUAGCACUGUGUUCGAUAGCAGAAAUACUAGAUGACGAAAAAGCCAUCAUUCCUGCUGCUUGAGCAUUAUUAAUUAACAUAUGAUAUUUUAGAACCAAAUACUUUUGGAAAGGCAAACGAGAAAGUGUACCAGCUUUUAACUGCUCAACGAAUGGAUGGUUAACAAUGCUUAGCCAUUUAGGGGUUAUAGAAGGAUGAUAGCGAACAAAGUUGAUGAAUUCUCCCUUUUCAUAAGGAAGUCGCGUCAAGGCAGAAGCAUAAUCCAAGGAAUUGGCACCACGACCCAGAUGAAAGCUCAUUUCUAAUGCUCGCUGAGUGUAGGAUACUGCGUUCUGUGUUGCAGUUACAAGGUCUAACCCAAUUGCAAGAUUGGAAGCUACUGCUGAAGAUAAUGCACAGCUGGUGCCACGAGCCGUUUUGGAGGCAAGCCAUUUUUGAGGAAGCAACACUUCACCCUCACUAGUACAAAGGACAUAUAAAUACCAAGUAGGAGGCAUAUUUGUUUCGCGUGAGCAAAAAAAAUCAGAUGCGAACGGUAUAUCGUCGCAACGUAUAACCACAUUUUUACAACCUGCCUUUAUUAACUUUUUACCCACGGCUUUAACGUCCUCUAAAUGAUGAAUUUCAACGAAUUCGUUAGUCAUAUGCUUCAGUAUUAUUAAGGCUUCUGCUAUGUUUGGAAUAAGCACUUCUGCUCGCGGAAUAAGCUCUUUAACAAAUAGUUCUAAGUAGUCGGGCAUGACUAGUAAAGCACCCUUCCGGGUCGCAAUAAGGGGAUCAACAACGACUUUUUUGAUUUUAAACCUAUCUAUUGAUUCAACAAUAACUUUUAAAAUUUGCUGAUUGAACAGCAUUCCAGUCUUCAUGACUUCACAGUGAACAUCUAACAGGCAAGCACUUAUCUGUUGUUCAACAUACGAGGCAGGAAUAAGGUGAACUCCAUUAACACCAAUCGUAUUUUGGGAAGUAAUAGCAGUAACCGCACUCAUUCCAUAAACGGAGUGUGCUGUAAAUACUUUCAAAUCGGCUUGUACGCCAGCACCACCGCUGCAAUCGGAGCCGGCGACAGUGAUACAAGUCGAAAUCAUGGUCAAUGUAAUACUUAAUCUCCAAAAAAUUACAGCACUACUUUCGAUAGGGUCUCAAACAGUUAAGCUACGAAAUUCGUAACUGUGGUAGAU
This 1670-nucleotide long non-coding RNA is filed under the name Schizosaccharomyces pombe (fission yeast). The record is from RNAcentral. Lineage: Eukaryota; Fungi; Ascomycota; Schizosaccharomycetes; Schizosaccharomycetales; Schizosaccharomycetaceae.